Molecule: ribosomal RNA, 253 nt
Filed under: uncultured bacterium
Lineage: Bacteria
Description: partial 16S ribosomal RNA
Rfam family: Bacterial small subunit ribosomal RNA
Source: RNAcentral
UACGGAGGGUGCAAGCGUUAAUCGGAAUUACUGGGCGUAAAGCGUGUGUAGGUGGUUUGGUAAGUGUGAUGUGAAAUCCCUGGGCUUAACCUAGGAACUGCAUCACAUACUGCUAGUCUAGAAUCCUGGAGAGGGUAGGGGAAUUAUCUGUGUAGCGGUGAAAUGCGUAGAUAUGGAUAAGAACACCGGUGGCGAAGGCGCCUACCUGGUCAGAGAUUGACACUGAGACACGAAAGCGUGGGUAGCGAACAGG